RNAcentral lists this long non-coding RNA (868 nucleotides) under Pogona vitticeps (central bearded dragon). RNAcentral's name for it is "lncRNA (ENSPVIG00000024503.1)". The record is from RNAcentral. Lineage: Eukaryota; Metazoa; Chordata; Lepidosauria; Squamata; Agamidae.
ACCAAAGGUUCUUUGUGCAGCAGGCAAGAACGUACUUGGGUGCAAGAAAAACCACAAAGUUGUCGUGUGUUUCUUCACCUGGAUAUGUUUACAGAUUAUGCAGAAAGAUAUUCAGUCCAAAACAGAUGAGCAUUUUGAAGUAUAAAUAAUAGAAACUUUAAUCUGUCCAUACCUAGACAUUUCCUACUUCUCUGACUCUGAAGAAUAAAGGAUGUCACUGAUAACAUCCCUAUCAAUUAAUACCAACAAAAUCAAUAGUGGUGGUGGUCAUGGUAGAACAAAGUAUUCCGGAAAAGAGCAUAGGUGACUGAUUGGCUGGCUGGAAUCCUGAACAAGAGUGCUUCUGUUGGGAACUAAGGAUAUACUGCAAAAUGUUGAUGUACUGUAGUUCCACUUAUUCCUUCAAACAGAAGACUCAGAUGGUUGAGAGGCUGAAUCUGUCACUGAAACAGCGCCAUGGAGAACCAAAAAGGAGGUGUUUGCAAAUUGAGGUGAAUUCUGAGGUGCCAGGAAGGCUGAGGAGCUUCAGAAGGAGAGACAAGAGUGUUGACUAAUUAAGUGUGAGAAUGUCUCCAUUUUCAGUGAUAUGUGGUUACACUGGUGCUAAGGGUCAGACAGGGCCUGACAUGGGAGAUCUUUAAUCAGCAUGACUGCUAAUGAAGCUCAAAGAACUGAAAGAAAGGGUGUUUAAAAUGUUCCUUUUCACCCCACCAUCUCCUGAGUGAAAUUACUCUUCCAGAUACAGCUAUGUCUUCUACUGUAGAAUGAAUGGUAGCUGAUUGCGAAGAUGGUGUCUUUUCCUCCUGUCCGAUACUACUUACCCCAGGCCAGAAAUAAACAGAAAUGUGUUGCAGAGAGGUGACUAAAA